Hirundo rustica (Barn swallow) is the source of this 281-nucleotide long non-coding RNA. RefSeq lists it as uncharacterized. The transcript is spliced from 3 exons. The record is from RefSeq and is a predicted model, not a curated record. NCBI's taxonomy places the organism in Eukaryota, Metazoa, Chordata, Aves, Passeriformes, Hirundinidae.
AAUUUUUGCUUUGAGGCCCUUCUGAUGAGGAUGCUGCUCCUGUUGGAAGCCAGUUGGGUUUGCAGACUCUGGGUUGCACACUGUGCAGCACUUCAAUAGCAGAGCUGCUCCAAUCCCUCAAUUCCAUGGAGAAAUUGAACGCGUUUUUAUAAAAUCCUGGUUCUGGUUUUGGCCAGCUAAAACAACUGGCCUGUCUGCACAGCUCCAACCUGCAGAGGUGCACGUUCUUAAAUCAAACAGCUCCUGAAUGAAGCCAGGUUAUUCCCUCUACAGGGCAGGAG